AACGAACGCUGGCGGCAUGCCUAACACAUGCAAGUCGAGCGCCCGUAGCAAUACGGGAGCGGCGCACGGGUGAGUAGCGCGUGGGAACCUGCCCAGAGGUUCGGGACAACCGCGGGAAACUGCGGCUGAUACCGGAUGAUGCCUGAGGGCCAAAGAUUUAUCGCCUUUGGAGGGGCCCGCGUCGGAUUAGGUAGUUGGUGAGGUAACGGCUCACCAAGCCUGUGAUCCGAGCUGGUCUGAGAGGAUGAUCAGCCACACUGGGACUGAGACACGGCCCAGACUCCUACGGGAGGCAGCAGUGGGGAGUAUUGGACAAUGGGGGCAACCCUGAUCCAGCAAUGCCGCGUGGGUGAUGAAGGCCUGGUUGUAAG
Molecule: ribosomal RNA, 371 nt
Filed under: uncultured bacterium
Lineage: Bacteria
Description: bacterial SSU rRNA
Rfam family: Bacterial small subunit ribosomal RNA
Source: RNAcentral